GCUAAUGCAAUGAUCAAGAGGGUUGCGGUCUUUUUUUCAGCGACGGGAUGGUUGGUGUGAAUCUCGAAAGAAGACCGUGAUUGUAGCUUGUGAGCUGCCGUCCUGAAGUGAGUAGGGAACGGCCGGUGACAGCCGUUAUCCUGAACCAAGUGGGGAUUGAAUCCCAAUUUAGGUGGUACCGCGAGU
Molecule: non-coding RNA, 186 nt
Filed under: Lacticaseibacillus rhamnosus
Lineage: Bacteria; Bacillati; Bacillota; Bacilli; Lactobacillales; Lactobacillaceae
Description: Lactobacillus rhamnosus T-box sequence
Rfam family: T-box leader
About the family: Uncharged tRNA acts as the effector for transcription antitermination of genes in the T-box leader family. T-boxes are found upstream of many aminoacyl-tRNA synthetase genes and some amino acid biosynthetic genes usually in Gram-positive bacteria.
Source: RNAcentral